This 299-nucleotide long non-coding RNA is filed under the name Nicotiana benthamiana. Its description in RNAcentral is "long non-coding RNA (NBEN_LNC004092)". The record is from RNAcentral. Lineage: Eukaryota; Viridiplantae; Streptophyta; Magnoliopsida; Solanales; Solanaceae.
AUGAAUGCAUGACCUUGUUAUUGUAUAUUGAUGUCUCUCCUGAACAGAACAAUAUUAGUUUACCUCAUAAGAGAAUAUGUUCUUCAAAAUUGAGUAAAACUUAUCUGUGCACUUUUGUCUAAGUCAUAUUAAUCUGGAUAGGAUUUCAAGUUGGUCAAGGAUGGACCUUAAGGUUCAAUGAAAGUAGAGGCACUACCAUCUUGUGGAUCCUAUUUGGAAUGAAGUUUGACUAAAAGAUGUUUCCUUUUAAAAAGAAAUAAAACUAGUGAUAAGUUAGAAUGAAUUCUUUCUGAUUUGUA